RNAcentral lists this ribosomal RNA (588 nucleotides) under uncultured soil bacterium. RNAcentral describes it as "bacterial SSU rRNA". It matches the Rfam family "Bacterial small subunit ribosomal RNA", at positions 56 to 688 of the family's 1533-position model. The record is from RNAcentral.
UGCAAGUCGAACGAGAUCCUUCGGGGUCUAGUGGCGCACGGGUGCGUAACGCGUGGGAAUCUGCCUUUCGGUACGGAAUAACUCAGGGAAACUUGUGCUAAUACCGUAUGACGUCGCGAGACCAAAGAUUUAUCGCCGAAAGAUGAGCCCGCGUAGGAUUAGCUAGUUGGUGGGGUAAAGGCCUACCAAGGCGACGAUCCUUAGCUGGUCUGAGAGGAUGAUCAGCCACACUGGGACUGAGACACGGCCCAGACUCCUACGGGAGGCAGCAGUGGGGAAUAUUGGACAAUGGGCGAAAGCCUGAUCCAGCAAUGCCGCGUGAGUGAUGAAGGCCUUAGGGUUGUAAAGCUCUUUUACCCGGGAUGAUAAUGACAGUACCGGGAGAAUAAGCCCCGGCUAACUCCGUGCCAGCAGCCGCGGUAAUACGGAGGGGGCUAGCGUUGUUCGGAAUUACUGGGCGUAAAGCGUACGUAGGCGGUGACUCAAGUCAGAGGUGAAAGCCCGGGGCUCAACUCCGGAAUUGCCUUUGAAACUAGGUCGCUUGAACGUCGGAGAGGUGAGUGGAAUUCCGAGUGUAGAGGUGAAAUU